This is a long non-coding RNA of Ruditapes philippinarum (Manila clam), 266 nucleotides long. RefSeq lists it as uncharacterized. The transcript is spliced from 2 exons. The record is from RefSeq and is a predicted model, not a curated record. NCBI's taxonomy places the organism in Eukaryota, Metazoa, Mollusca, Bivalvia, Venerida, Veneridae.
UCUUGGUAGGAAUGAAUAGCGUUCCUAGAAGCAACGUUAGGACAAGAUUCAUUAAAUUUUCCCAACAAAGUUUUUUUUCGGGUUACAUAGAAGUUUGUGAAGUGAAAGCCUUUAGCUAUACACUGCGAUAAAGUGUUUCUUAGUAUUGAAGAUAUGAAAAACACAACUACAAAGUUGCGAAACCUACAUUGAGAAUGAAUCAAAUAAUAUGUUUGAUAAACAUGAUUAUUGUUGUCGGCAAAUAAAAUGUUUCACUAAAAUUUCAA